GAAAUUGAAAAGCCAUCAAACAAAUAGUUUAAGUACCUCUCAAAAGCAAAAUUAAGCUAAUUAUAAGAGAUUAAGCGGUUGUUUGAUUAUCAAGAUGACUUUCCCAAAAAAUAUGAAGCCAAUGUUAUUUGUGCUACUGCUCGUUAUCAUGGCAUCUAAUUUUGCAUCAGGGGAGCAGCAUUGGUGCACCAUGCAAGGUUACCCAUGUGGUAAAGGUUUAAGUCCAUGUUGCGGCGAAAUGUUUUGUAAUGCGGCAGUUAUUGGUACUUGUUGUACUCGUGGUUUUAUAUGGCAUUCAUGCGGUCACUAGUCAAUGAAUCAAACUUAUGGCUAGAUGGAUGAAUGAAGGUGGUGUGUGUUUGUAUUGAUUUCUUGUUUUUCUGAUGCUUUCUUGUAUUAUUGUCAUUCGUUAAUAACGUACGUACCCUAUGUGUGUACUCGUAUCAUGUAUUUCUGUUUCUUAUCAAUGGUAAUGUUUGUACAACCCAUGACACAAUGGGCCUUUCUUUUGAA
Molecule: long non-coding RNA, 513 nt
Organism: Spinacia oleracea (spinach)
Lineage: Eukaryota; Viridiplantae; Streptophyta; Magnoliopsida; Caryophyllales; Amaranthaceae
Exons: 2
Source: RefSeq, a predicted model, not a curated record